Molecule: long non-coding RNA, 3713 nt
Organism: Rhododendron vialii
Lineage: Eukaryota; Viridiplantae; Streptophyta; Magnoliopsida; Ericales; Ericaceae
Exons: 3
Source: RefSeq, a predicted model, not a curated record
GCCGACUCCCAAUUCUGCCGACAUAGCGAGAGAGAGAGGGGGAGAGAAAGGGAGGAGGAGGUCACGGCUAAGGGGAGGGAGGAAGGAGAGGUCCGGUUUCGACGAUCCAACUCGGUGACAAGUAACGAGCCGGUCUUUUAGGAGGUGCCGAAACCGUAAGUUUGGCAUACUCCAGUCGAAUGAAAGGUAGCAGGUGGCUUAGAGUGGGUCCACUACUGGUCAACUCUUUGGAGAGUGCUAGACUAGCGUCGGGUGAUGUCUUUGGUUAGAUUGUUGCGUAGCUGAUUCGUCUAGAAGCUAACCUAAAUGUUAUGUAAUUAAUUUGAGAGAGGGAUAUUUAUUAUAACUUGAGAGUUGAGGUUUUGGGCGUUGACUUGGUUGUAUUUUAAGUGAGAAGUCUUCCGCUAAUUUGUAUUCUGAUUGGUUGUAGAGUGUGGUGUGGUCUAUUGUGUGGAAUGCCGCGUGGCCGCGCUGACUCGGGCCCACUCUGGGUGCCGUUUGCGGGGCGGGGCGUGACAGCUUGGUAUCAGAGCUAGUACUUUCUAGACUCUGUGUUGAGAGUUGGUUGGGGGUUGGUAGUGGACCAUAGGAGUUGAGUUUGUCGAGUAGCGGUUAGGGAUUUAACUAACGUGUGAGUUAUAUCCAUAACCAUUGUGUUUGAUGUUGAUUGUUGAAACAGGUUUUUUCUGAUAAACGGAUUUGAAUCAUACGGUAUGUGUUGAGGAUGUUAUAUUUGGUGACGGUGUGGGAUGAACAACGGAUGUAGUUGACAAUGUGUUGUAGUUGUGGCACAAUUCACAUGAAUGCAGGGUAUUGAUAUGGCUCGAUUCAUGGGGUAGCAGAUGGUUGUGGUUCAUUGGCAGUUUGCACAGGGUUCAGGUACGUGUUUGCUUGAAAGGUUUAAAGUGAUUUUCCUUGUACAGUUUGAGUGGGGUUAGUAUCCCUUUCAUUGCGGGAGGAUGUGUGAGAUUUGUGGUACUAGAACUAAAUGUUUUGAGCAUAGUGUCGGCGGUAUCGUAGGUGGUGGUGUCGGGGGGGUUUUGACAAGAGUUGUAUCUGUUGGGGUUGUUUGAUGAUUAUGGGGUGAUCAUGUUUGUGGAAAUUUUUGUGUUAAGGUUUAUUUAGGGUAGUGAUGUGCUUGUGGCAUAUGAUUUGGGUUGAGGGGAGAAUGAUUUAAGGUUGUGUGGUGUGUGAGUCCUAUGAUAGUGCGAGUAGUUGAUGAGGUGAAUACGUGGAUGUUAUAAGUUUUGGAGAGCUUAGUUUUAGUGGAUUUUAAGUUGUUGAGCUUGUAUGAGAGAAUAACAUAAUAGUUUGGAGUUUUGUGGGAAUGGUUUUGUUCAUUCCGUGAACUGGAAUAUGGUUAUGAUAGUCUAUGAGGGGAUAGUUGUGGGCGAGUGUUUCUAUGUUGUGGUUAUCAGUGUGGAUGAGUUAAGAGGGAAAUAGAUUAAAUGUGUUGUUAAGGUUAUAGUCUGGUGGGAGGUAAGGUUUGGGAAGCAGAGCGUGAGCUAGUAAGCGGUUGGUAAGUGGUUGUGUAACAUUGACACGUUAGUGUUUAAAUUAUGGAUUAAAAGAUUAUUCUGUUGGUGAGUGUCCUAUUGGAACUUUGGAUUUUGUGGAAAGUUUAUCAUUUCAAUGUGAACUAGUGGUUUUACUUAGGUUGUAGUGGGUUAGUUAACGAGGUCAACACAUCUUUUACCGGUUGAGGUUACUUAUACUACGGAUAAGUGUGCAAAAUUGUAUAUUGAUGGUAUUGUUUGGUGCACAGGGUGCAUGUGUACUGCGGAGUUGAGUAUAACAACGGUUACUAGGGUUGGAGGUUGGUGAGAGGCAGAGAGAUGGUGAGGGUGAUGGUGAUGGCAGUGAAGGUGAUAGUGGUAAUGACGAGGAUGAUUGUGAGGAUAGUGAGAAUGGUAGUGAUAGUGCUGAGGAGAGUAAGGAGCAAAGGUUUCAAGUUUAGUGAGAGUUAGAGUUUUGAGAAAUCCAAAGAGGGUUCAGAGGAGACGAGAUAGGAGUACAGGCAGUGGUUAGUGGCGGUGAAUGUCGAUACGUUCGUUGUGGUCGAUGGAGCAAUUGGUCAGAGAGGGUUCGGGGUGUUGAAAAGUAUACAGGGUUACUGUGUGGCGAGUUUGGGCACAAAGCGGCACAGUGUUCAAGGGUGCAGGAGCCGGCGAUGGAUUCGUUCGAAUAGGUGCCAGGUAUUUUUAAGUUUUGUUAAUGAGUUGUGGGUAGAGUAAUUUUUGAGGAUUCUUGUGUGUGGGGUUGGGAUAACUUAUGGGUGAGUUGGGUGUGCAUUUUCGUUUAAGAUACUGUGCUUGUGUGAGGAGUUGUUGAGAAUUUUCGUGCCCUUGUGUAAAGGUAAAGUGUGAGGGAAUGGAGAGAAUAUAAAUGUAUCUUGAUGAUAGGAUACCAUGCUAGAGUGUGAGUGAGUGUUUUGUGUAUAUCUAUGUGGAUAAUAUAUAUAUCUUGUUGAGUAGAGGAUGUAUAUGUAUGCGUAGUGUGUGUGUGUGUCCUUAAGUGUUACGCCAAGAUUUUUGGACUUGUUUGAAAUCCAGUUGGAACCGCGUCUGCGCAACGUAGUUUCCGGCGGGAGGUCUUACAUUGUCUCUAGAUUGGGUGGUGGCUCUUUGGGACGGUGUUGUGUGUAGGUGGGGUAUUUAUGUUUUAAUUUUAUGGGUACCGUGUUGUGUGCUAGUUGUUGUCGAGAGAAGUGAUUGAUAGGGCUGGUGCGAAUUAUGAAUUGUCCUUGCUAAGGAAGUUACUGGUGUUGGGAUAUGUUGAGCUUUAACGAGAGUUGGAGAUUUGUUUUUGGUGGUGUUAUUGAGUUUGAGGUUGGGUGUUGUGUGGUUACUGAGUAAUUUUGAGUGUAUGCAUGUUUGAGGUUAUUUUCUUUGAGGUAAGAUUUGGGUAGAGGUUGGAUUUAUUCUUUUUGAAGUUUGGUUUUUGUCUACAUGUGGAUGAGUUGUGUAAGUUGGUGAAGGUGUUUGUUUUGAGGAUGGUGUUGGUAACAUUGUGAGGUUGGUUGUUGUUGAUUUUGUGGCGAGUGCUAUUUCGGGGACGAAAUAUUCCAAGUGGGGGAGAGUUGUAACACCCAUCCCGGGAUAUUUAGAGUUUCAAUUUAAUUUUGAGGUUUGGGGUUUAAUUUGUAUUUGUUGGAUUCUAUGAGGGGCCUUGGUGUGAUUUACAUGGAGAAUUGUUAUUGGUUUGGAGUAUAAGUUGAGAGGAGAGGUGACCACAUAGGAUUUCUUCCUAAGUGACUAAAUAGCCAUCAGAUUCUUCCCAAUUCUGCCGACUCCCAAUUCUGCCGACAUAGCGAGAGAGAGAGGGGGAGAGAAAGGGAGGAGGAGGUCACGGCUAAGGGGAGGGAGGAAGGAGAGGUCCGGUUUCGACGAUCCAACUCGGUGACAAGUAACGAGCCGGUCUUUUAGGAGGUGCCGAAACCGUAAGUUUGGCAUACUCCAGUCGAAUGAAAGGUAGCAGGUGGCUUAGAGUGGGUCCACUACUGGUCAACUCUUUGGAGAGUGCUAGACUAGCGUCGGGUGAUGUCUUUGGUUAGAUUGUUGCGUAGCUGAUUCGUCUAGAAGCUAACCUAAAUGUUAUGUAAUUAAUUUGAGAGAGGGAUAUUUAUUAUAACUUGAGAGUUGAGGUUUUGGGCGUUGACUUGGUUGUAUUUUAAGUGAGAAGUCUUCCGCUAAUUUGUAUUCUGAUUGGUUGUA